RNAcentral lists this unclassified non-coding RNA (1351 nucleotides) under Stegodyphus dumicola. Its description in RNAcentral is "carbonic anhydrase-related protein 10-like, transcript variant X4". The record is from RNAcentral. Lineage: Eukaryota; Metazoa; Arthropoda; Arachnida; Araneae; Eresidae.
UAUGCCUUCGAUUAAACCUCUCCUGGAAGUUCGAGCAGUAAAGUUUGCGAGUGGCGCUGUUAGCGUUUCGGAAUCUAGAGGAUGGUCGACUGACGGAUUUCGUUCUUGUUUGAAGACCAUGUGGCCAACGGUGCUCUUCCUUCUUCAAGGUGUGGCAGGAAGUUGGGAGGAAUGGUGGACCUAUGAUGGCAUAUCAGGUCCAGACUUCUGGGGAUUGUUAAAUCCUGAGUGGAGCUUCUGUACAAAAGGCCGCAGGCAAUCUCCGAUCGAUCUUGAUCCGUCAGUUCUACUGUAUGACCCACACCUGAAAAGUCUAAAUAUCGACAAAUUUAGGUUACAGAUAUUCGGCUACAAUUCAGACUUAUAUAACAACAUAUCUGAAGCUUUGGCAGUACGGAGAAGUGAAGGCAUGGUGGGAAUUGCAGUUCUUUUACAAGUGGGAGAUUUAUCGAAUGCUGAACUCAGAAUACUUACCAGUCAACUCCAUAGGAUAAUAUAUAGAGGUCAAGAAGCGUAUUUACAGCACUUGUCUGUGAGAAAUCUUUUACCUGACACAAGACAUUUUAUGACAUACGAAGGAUCUCUGACCAUGCCUGGAUGUCAAGAAACAGUAACGUGGAUUGUCAUGAAUCGACCUAUUUAUAUCACUAAGCAACAGCUCUACAUUCUGCGGAAGUUAGUGCAAGGUGUCGAAAAUAGUCCAAAAGCUCCCUUAGGAAAUAAUUUUCGACCUCCUAUGCCACUGAACCAAAGAGUCGUCAGGACAAAUAUUGACUUCCGGAGAGCUCAGGGUAAGAAGUGUCCAACUAUGCACAGUGAUAUGCGCUACGAAGGAAAUGGAACCAGAGCCCAUGACAAUGGCUGCUAAAUCAAUAGUGUCACCAUCAAGAAACUACUCCUGGAGAACUAUGUUCCUAUCCCUCUCCUGCUCAAUCACCAUGGUUUAGCACUCCUAUUUUAUAACGGUUCGCCCAGACACUCAUAGACGAACAUCUUUCGAAGGAAUUUUUAAGAAAUCUUUUUACUACGAGCUUCAUACUAUAUUUGGAUCUUCGAAAGAAAUCUUAAAUGACUGGUUUUGGGCUUCUUGAGAAAGCUGCUCUGGUGUCUUCUCUGAGCUGGACUUUCAACUAGACAAAGGAAUGACCCUAGUUCAGCUUAAACUCAGAAAUUUCAAAAUAUAGUGUUGAUAAUGUACUUAACUGGAAUACAAUUCUAUCAUGCAAAUACAUUUUACCAAGUCAUAAAAUUGUACAUAUUAACAGGUGGCACGUUUCUAUAUUGAAAAUAUAAUUCGAGUUUAUAAAACUGUCUUUUUCUUCUGAAAGAUAAUUAAACGGAGAAGAGUGAA